UGAUUAUUAUUAGAAAUAUCAAACAUUUAAGUGGAUUUUCUGUUACAUGUAUUGUCUUAGCCCUGCGAUAACUGGCAGCCUGUCUUUGUCCUGUAUCAGCUGGGAUAGGCUUCAUCCUCCCGCGACCUUGAAUUGGAUACAUGAAUUGUAUUGAAUUGUAUUCCAAUUAUGUAAUCUGAUCAAUUACAAACUCAAGGUAUCUAAUCAAAAUGUAAGUAAUAAUGAUAAAAAUGGGAAAGCAGAAAUAAGUGUGACAUGAAUGUAAAUGUGUGAGCUGACAUAGAGGACAGCUACAUGUAGUCUGAAAAACCUUUGUUGUCAAAUUUGCAGGUCUAUCACGAGACAUUCUUACAUAGAAGAGACUGUUAAAGUCUCUAACUCAGUGAAGCAUUAUUGGUCCAGUCUGUUUGGAUAAAUAUAGAGGCGCUGAAAGGUUUCCCUAAUAGUUCCUGGUGAAUCAAAGCAGAACCAUAAAGGUUGCUGGACUGCAUCGUGGCCUUACCCCUGAGCAGUCAUCCUGUUAAAGGAGGAACCAGUUAGAAGCUGUUUUCAAAGUAGCUGAGCAGAUUUCACCUCAACAGACAAAGCCGAUGGCAGAAGAUGUUUGGAGAAGAACUUCAGGCCGUGUACUGAAAAGUAGAUCAAAGUAGCUCGUGCUCUGUCUGCUUCCAUUCUGAUGGCAAGAAGAAGAAGAAGGAGAAGAAUGCUUCAGCGAAGUGGCGUUCAUGGUCUCAGUGGACAGUCAUGGUCACACACUGCAUGUGGUUUUAAAAGCAACAUUGUUCACCACAACAAUGGAGAUGUGUAAUAUCAGUGCAGCUACGGUUUGUUCUUGAACAUCAGUUCUGUUUUCUACUUUGACCACUUAGACCAAAAAAGUGUUGUUUUCAGAUUCUUUCUUUUUAAAUCUAUAAAGCACCUGUUCAUUUUUUAUUACAAUUAGUUUCACAUAAAUGUUAGUGUUUCCUUUAUGAUCUUUUAAUGCUUACACUACACUGUA
Long non-coding RNA from Oreochromis niloticus (Nile tilapia), 1000 nucleotides. RefSeq lists it as uncharacterized. The record is from RefSeq and is a predicted model, not a curated record. The transcript is spliced from 4 exons. NCBI's taxonomy places the organism in Eukaryota, Metazoa, Chordata, Actinopteri, Cichliformes, Cichlidae.